AUCCCAAUAGCUUAAUGGUAAAGCUUGAUUCUCCUAAAAUUAUUAUUCAAGUUCAAAUCUUGAUUGGGAUA
Molecule: non-coding RNA, 71 nt
Organism: Hortaea werneckii EXF-2000
Lineage: Eukaryota; Fungi; Ascomycota; Dothideomycetes; Mycosphaerellales; Teratosphaeriaceae
Source: Rfam